UAAGUACUUCCUCCGUCCGGAAAUACUUGUCAUCAAAAUGGAUAAAAGGGGAUGUAUCUAGAACUAAUAUACGUCUAGAUGACAAGUAUUUUCGGAUGGAGGGAGUAAUUA
This is a non-coding RNA of Triticum aestivum (bread wheat), 111 nucleotides long. The record is from Rfam. NCBI's taxonomy places the organism in Eukaryota, Viridiplantae, Streptophyta, Magnoliopsida, Poales, Poaceae.